AAUAAUAUAAGAGAUGCCUCUUAUUUAAGAGGUUCAAGAACUUCUAAGAGGUAGUGACGUAUCAAGUAGUGGUUGGAGGAAUCUAUUGAAAAAACAAAAUGUCUUCGCUUCUUUUUCUUCCUCUUCUCUUUAUCACGAAUCUCUCCAAUUCAGCGACUCAGUCUUAAUUACAUCCUCCUUACGGAUUUGCAACUUUUUUCUUGUUGUGGAGCUGUCAUCCCACAUAUCAUAUCCAGAAAUCCUAACAAUUCGGUGGUCACCAUCUGCAAAUUUGGUGAACCAAAUCCAAUACGACUUUUAGGAUUUUUCAAAAAUUCGAGUGUAGAAGAGCGAGAGCUUGCUGAGCUGUUGAUGGAGUAUCAGAACAAGUGUGGUGGCAGAGACAAAUUACAGCCCAUGAUUUUGCCUGAGUCAGAUUUUGAUCACCCUGAGUGAAACGACCCGAUCCAUUUUUUUUAAUAAAUAUUAAACUAGUGAUCCCAUACUCACUAACACCCUAACCCCAAUCAAAACACAACAGCAAAAAUAAUCAAACAUUAAAGCAAUAAAUUAAAUAACCAAUGACGAAUAAAACAAUAACAUCUAUCUAACAAACUAAUAACAUAACCCAAGUAAUAGAACAUUGAACCAGCAACCUAAACAACCUUUCUAGACCACUACAUUCCAUUCUAGCAACCUAACAACAACAUAAAAUAAAACAAGCAAGCCUCUAGAACAUCUUCCUCUUCAUUGUCUUGAUUCUACGAUCACACUUUGCAUUUACCUGCACUACAAACACAAAUUGAGGUCCAUGAGUAUGUCAUAGACACUCAGUGAGGCAAUCCUCUCAUCUACUGGGCUAUACACACAAACAUCUGAGAAUUCAAUGUCAA
This is a non-coding RNA of Camelina sativa (false flax), 872 nucleotides long. The record is from RefSeq and is a predicted model, not a curated record. Lineage: Eukaryota; Viridiplantae; Streptophyta; Magnoliopsida; Brassicales; Brassicaceae.